This 415-nucleotide long non-coding RNA is filed under the name Elaeis guineensis (African oil palm). RNAcentral describes it as "long non-coding RNA (EGUI_LNC034402)". The record is from RNAcentral. Lineage: Eukaryota; Viridiplantae; Streptophyta; Magnoliopsida; Arecales; Arecaceae.
GGCCCUAAUUUCUGUUUGCUUGCUAUGACUGGAUUGUCACAUGAUAUAUGUGACCCGUUUACGUGGCAUUCUUUUGCUAAUCUGAAAAAAAAAAUUCUAGAAGUCCUCUCUCCUUUCUCAUAUCUUCUUCCAUCUAAGAUUUCUAUAAAUGGAAAGAUAAAAAAAUCCUCUCUCGAGAUCUCUAUCCUUCUUCUUUCUACUUCGUUGGAAUAGAAAGAAGAGAUUUCAUUUUUAUAUUAGUAGAAAUCAAAGCUAAUGCAACUCUAUUUCCUCCAAUCCUUUUUCACCUCAACUUCAACAUUCCACUCACCCCUCAUCAAUGGUUUGGGUCAUUUUUUGCUCAAAAUCACUACCAAUAUUUGAUGUUAAAGUAAUCGUUACAUCAUUUUUCAGAUUAAUUAAGGAAUCCAUGAUG